CAACUAAUUUUGUGUGUGUUGUGU
Molecule: non-coding RNA, 24 nt
Filed under: Arabidopsis thaliana (thale cress)
Lineage: Eukaryota; Viridiplantae; Streptophyta; Magnoliopsida; Brassicales; Brassicaceae
Source: RNAcentral